UCGAGAUGAAUUCUUUAGAUGACGAGUCUGAUCUUAUCGCUGCAAGGUUUCCUUGUAGUGAUAUCUCAUGACUGAAAUCUUUUAUAUUUUUACCAUUCAUGCUUUUCUGAUU
This 112-nucleotide small nucleolar RNA is filed under the name Serpula lacrymans var. lacrymans S7.3. Lineage: Eukaryota; Fungi; Basidiomycota; Agaricomycetes; Boletales; Serpulaceae. The record is from RNAcentral.